RNAcentral lists this ribosomal RNA (503 nucleotides) under uncultured bacterium. RNAcentral describes it as "partial 16S ribosomal RNA". It matches the Rfam family "Bacterial small subunit ribosomal RNA", at positions 30 to 523 of the family's 1533-position model. The record is from RNAcentral.
AUUGAACGCUGGCGGCAGGCCUAACACAUGCAAGUCGAGCGGGGUGAUGGUGCUUGCACUAUCACUUAGCGGCGGACGGGUGAGUAAUGCUUAGGAAUCUGCCUAUUAGUGGGGGACAACAUCUCGAAAGGGAUGCUAAUACCGCAUACGUCCUACGGGAGAAAGCAGGGGAUCACUUGUGACCUUGCGCUAAUAGAUGAGCCUAAGUCGGAUUAGCUAGUUGGUGGGGUAAAGGCCUACCAAGGCGACGAUCUGUAGCGGGUCUGAGAGGAUGAUCCGCCACACUGGGACUGAGACACGGCCCAGACUCCUACGGGGGGCAGCAGUGGGGAAUAUUGGACAAUGGGGGGAACCCUGAUCCAGCCAUGCCGCGUGUGUGAAGAAGGCCUUAUGGUUGUAAAGCACUUUAAGCGAGGAGGAGGCUCUUUUGGUUAAUACCCAAGAUGAGUGGACGUUACUCGCAGAAUAAGCACCGGCUAACUCUGUGCCAGCAGCCGCCGUAA